UGUGUGGGCGCUGCUGCUGCAGCCGGGCUUCCGUCGGGUGCCUCUUAGACUGCAGGUGCCCUACAUUGGCGCGAGUGCCCGGCAGGUUGAGAACGUGCUGUCACUGUUGCGAGGUCGCCCUGGAAAAAUGGUGGAUCUAGGCUCUGGUGAUGGCAGGAUCGUAAGGCCUGUGUCUGUAUAUUCGUUGUCCCUCCCUUGGUGGCCCCAUUCCCUACAUCCAGGUCCCACACUCUUGGCUCCCAUAGGUGCUGGCGGCCCACCAAUGUGGUCUCCGUCCAGCUGUGGGGUAUGAGCUGAACCCGUGGCUUGUGGGACUUGCACGGCUGCAUGCUUGGAGGGCCGGUUGUUCCGGGAGUGUCUGCUACCAUCGAAAAGAUCUCUGGAAGGUGAGCCUCAGGGACUGUCACAACGUGUCUGUGUUCCUGGCUCCCAGUGUGCUCCCUCUGCUGGAGGACAAGCUGCAAGUGGAGCUUCCUGCAGGGGCCCGUGUGGUGUCUGGACGGUUCCCCUUUCCCACAUGGAAGCCUGUAGCCGUGGUGGGCGAGGGCACCGACAGAGUUUGGGCCUAUGAUGUCCACGGUGCUGGGCCAGCUGUGUCUUCCAGUGGGGUGCCCAUCAAGGCCAUCCCAGAGUCCAGUUCUACCUAGAUCCCUAGGGCCCCUGCUUGACAAGCUGGCUGAUUGGAUAAAAUAAAGACUCUGUGGGUUCAGUUCUGA
This 716-nucleotide long non-coding RNA is filed under the name Rattus norvegicus (Norway rat). RNAcentral describes it as "long non-coding RNA NONRATT005285". The record is from RNAcentral. Lineage: Eukaryota; Metazoa; Chordata; Mammalia; Rodentia; Muridae.